RNAcentral lists this transfer RNA (67 nucleotides) under Lophotis ruficrista. RNAcentral describes it as "tRNA-Cys". The record is from RNAcentral. Lineage: Eukaryota; Metazoa; Chordata; Aves; Otidiformes; Otididae.
GGCUCUGUGGUGAAAUUCAUGUUGAGUUGCAAGCUCAUUGAUGUACGUUGAGCACGUGCCAGAGCCU